UGGAGAAGUUCACCUUUUGCUUGUGGGUAAACAGAUGCAUGUCACCAUGUGGAACGCUGAUGAAUCCUUUUCUUCAACAAUGACUGGUUCUUUGACUAGGGUUAGUUAGUUAAGAAGCAUGCUUACAAGAACCUAUGGUGUAUCUCACAAGAUGAUAGAACCCUUCGUAUGUUUUCAGAGUUCUUCCACCUUUAACCAAAUAGCAGCACCUGAAACAUUUAUAAUUGGAGGGUUUGUGCAAUGGAUCAUGAGACAGAGCCAAGAUAUACUCGAAACUAGUCAUGUCUAAUGUAGAUUUUGUUGUCUAACUAAGAGAAAUUGUAGCAGAUAGGUCCUUCAUCAUGGGCCAGUUUUGUUCUGAGCUCUUGUAUGUUGUCCCAUCAGAUAUAGCACUAUUACUCACUGUUUGUAAUUGUAGAUCCAGAAAGUAACAUGAUAAUUACUUUCUUUGGCUUAAAAAGUAAAUCAUUCAGUCUGAAUUUCUCAUGAGAACAAUUAUUUUGCUCAAAUCUGUGAACUAUUUAAAAAGAAUCUUGAGAUUCAUAUUUUCUA
This is a long non-coding RNA of Lotus japonicus, 552 nucleotides long. RefSeq lists it as uncharacterized. The transcript has 3 exons. NCBI's taxonomy places the organism in Eukaryota, Viridiplantae, Streptophyta, Magnoliopsida, Fabales, Fabaceae. The record is from RefSeq and is a predicted model, not a curated record.